CUCAUUUCUAUGCCGUUAAUGACAGAGGAUACACACUGUCGAACACAUAAUAGACAGUGGCAUCAUGGGAGCUAGGCUGUGAUUGGCUGAGGGCAAGGAAAACAGGAUUCAAAUGUUAAACGAGUAACAAAGAGGAAUUCCAAAACCACAUUCCUACGGUUUGAUUUUGGUCUGAUUUACUAUUCAGCAUUUAUAUGGACACAGGGGACUCAAACCAUAUCUGAUGUGUGGCUGCUGUGUUACCCCUUGACCCCAGACUGUCUGGAGGUCCGCGGUGACAAAGUCAAGGUCAAGGGGAAGAGGAAAGUGGGGGAGGUGACAAGUCUGAGCAGCAUCUGACGGCUGGAGAGCCCUGUGUCUGGGAGUGCAGAACCCAGACAGUCCCAGACGUCUGUUUGAGGGGAGACGGGGUUGUGUGUGAAACUCCUUUGGAGCUGUACAUCCUACCAUGUCGGCUCCCGUUCACCUCUGUGGCCCUGGAAGAGCAAACAGGGGCUGCUGAUGCCUAGAGACAGACAGGAGUGAUAUUUCCCACACCACAUCAGACGUCUGAAUACAUCAAACGAUUCAAAUGCAGAUAAACACAAAUCCACAUCUUUGUGAUAUAAAUUUAAAUUUAAAUCAGUCACUCAACUCUUAUUCCUUAUUUAAUGUUAUAUUACUAAUGGCCGAAAAACAAAUCAACUUUGUGUGUUUAUUGAGCAAGUUUAGUUGUAUUAUUGUGUACACUUAACACACUUUACACACAGAUAAAAUACAAUAUAUUUUUGUGUGUGAUAUAAAUAGAUUUAUCUUUAUGUUAUUUCUAAUUCAAAACUUGUGAUGCUCACCUUCUCUGCUUUCCUUUGACCUAAACUCAACAUAUGACAAUCGGACGACAGAAGAUGAUCUGUCUCACCUAUACAAGAAUAUAAAAAGUAGAUUUAAUAUCUAACUGCAUUAUUUUUUAUCAUUAUUAUUGUUGUUGUUGUCAUAUGAAUAUUUGACUGUAGGACUUUCUCACUGACGCUGUUGUAAUAAGACUGUAACUUCAAUUAAAAAAGUAUUAUAUCAUUUCUUUAAUCGAUAGAAGCAGGUGCAGCUCCCUCUACAGGUAAUCAUCUGUAGCACUUUCAUAACAAAAUCCCUUGAUGUAUAUGGCCUCUCUCUCUCUUCCUCUCCUCCGCCCUCCUUCUCUCUCACACACACAAAUACUCAAACACAUAUUCUCAAAUAUGAGGCCUCCCAGACCUCCCGCAUGAUCUGCAGUGGAGUGUGUAGCCACCUGUCAAUCACCACAUCUCGGCUGCCUUAAGAGAGACAUUUCGUCUGGGACAACGGCAACCCGUCCCUCCCCAUACAUUCUGCCUCCCCUAGCAACACCGGCCGGAUGACUGAGAGGCUUUGUCCCCUCACAACAGGGGUCCACCAUUGAACUCCAAUGCCCGUAGCAACCAGAAUUAGAGGGUGCCAAAAAGGGGAUCUUUUCUAUGAGUCAGGGUGAAAGCUCUGUUCUUGUCCCCAUGUCUGGGAUUCAUAUCAUGGGUCUGAAUGGUGUCCCCACCUCCUUUUAAAUACUGGUGUAACGGAGCGUAUGAAGGCGCUAGUGGUGAGCGGAUAGGAUCAUGGCUAAUCUGCUGUUCCUCUCCACUGUGGUCCGUUAGGGAUACUUAAGCAGGCUCUGUACACAUUAAGUUGUAUGGGGAGACCUGGGGAUACCUGGGUCAGAGCUAUGAGGUUAAUCAGUGUUGAAGAAAAAGAGCAGCAGCAAAAUAUUUUGAAUGUCGGUAAAGCAAUUCAGAACCUCAAGUUAAGUAGAAGAUUCAGUCAUCUUUUCUUUAGCUAUUAUCACUAUUUUCAUCUAAUCCAAUCUAACACUGACUACUCUGAUAGUCAAAGGCAAAUGGAAAAAUCAACAUUACAGGCCUUAACCUUCUGAAAAGUGGUAAUGUCAAUAAACAGGACUUUACUAAAAAAAAUGUGGAAGUCAAAAUGUUUUGCUAAAUGACUGUGUAGGCUCCAGGUGUGGAGUGAUCUUGUCCAGUUCACAGAGAC
Long non-coding RNA from Cynoglossus semilaevis (tongue sole), 2034 nucleotides. RefSeq lists it as uncharacterized. Lineage: Eukaryota; Metazoa; Chordata; Actinopteri; Pleuronectiformes; Cynoglossidae. The transcript has 3 exons. The record is from RefSeq and is a predicted model, not a curated record.